UUUAUUGAGAGUUUGAUCCUGGCUCAGGAUGAACGCUGGCGGCGUGCUUAACACAUGCAAGUCGAACGGACGGAUUGGAGCUUGCUCCAUGAAGUUAGUGGCGGACGGGUGAGUAACGCGUGGGUAACCUGCCCUAUGCAGGGGGAUAACGUUUGGAAACGAACGCUAAUACCGCAUAACCUAGUUGGUUCGCAUGAACCAACUAGCAAAGAUUUUAUCGGCAUAGGAUGGACCCGCGUUGGAUUAGCUAGUUGGUGAGAUAACAGCCCACCAAGGCAACGAUCCAUAGCCGGCCUGAGAGGGUGAACGGCCACACUGGGA
This 321-nucleotide ribosomal RNA is filed under the name Zhenhengia yiwuensis. RNAcentral describes it as "Bacterial small subunit ribosomal RNA". It matches the Rfam family "Bacterial small subunit ribosomal RNA", at positions 1 to 318 of the family's 1533-position model. Lineage: Bacteria; Bacillati; Bacillota; Clostridia; Lachnospirales; Lachnospiraceae. The record is from Rfam by way of RNAcentral.